AUUGAACGCUGGCGGCAGGCCUAACACAUGCAAGUCGAGCGGAUGAAGGGAGCUUGCUCCUGGAUUCAGCGGCGGACGGGUGAGUAAUGCCUAGGAAUCUGCCUGGUAGUGGGGGAUAACGUCCGGAAACGGGCGCUAAUACCGCAUACGUCCUGAGGGAGAAAGUGGGGGAUCUUCGGACCUCACGCUACCAGAUGAGCCUAGGUCGGAUUAGCUAGUUGGUGGGGUAAAGGCCUACCAAGGCGACGAUCCGUAACUGGUCUGAGAGGCUGAUCAGUCACACUGGAACUGAGACACGGUCCAGACUCCUACGGGAGGCAGCAGUGGGGAAUAUUGGACAAUGGGCGAAAGCCUGAUCCAGCCAUGCCGCGUGUGUGAAGAAGGUCUUCGGAUUGUAAAGCACUUUAAGUUGGGAGGAAGGGCAGUAAGUUAAUACCUUGCUGUUUUGACGUUACCAACAGAAUAAGCACCGGCUAACUUCGUG
RNAcentral lists this ribosomal RNA (484 nucleotides) under uncultured bacterium. RNAcentral describes it as "partial 16S ribosomal RNA". It matches the Rfam family "Bacterial small subunit ribosomal RNA", at positions 30 to 507 of the family's 1533-position model. The record is from RNAcentral.